This 2896-nucleotide unclassified non-coding RNA is filed under the name Hevea brasiliensis (rubber tree). The record is from RNAcentral. Lineage: Eukaryota; Viridiplantae; Streptophyta; Magnoliopsida; Malpighiales; Euphorbiaceae.
UUAGACAAUGCCAAGAAACUUUUCUGGCAUAUACGCUUUAAUAAUGACUCCCAAUCUAGCAUCAUAGCCUCAAAAUUGGCCUGAAUAAUGCACACCCAAAAAGGGCUGUACAAUUCAAAAAUUUUCUAUGUCAACUAUUAAGUUGAACAGCAAACUGUCGCUUUAGCAUGAAUGAGGGUAAAAAGAAUGAAUGUAAAAUUUAAACUACAAAAAUUGAACAGGUUGAGAAAUAUGAACAAGGAAUGCGGCAUUUACCAUUCAGGAAGCAAAACCACUAACGACUAUGUGAAUAGAGUUACAACAUCUCUACGGUAUCCUCUUACCAUCAAUAGCCUUGGCACAUUUUCUACUAAUAGAUCCAUGUAUUCCAUGUAAAAGUAGGCUGGGUGGUUGAUUGGAGGUGGUGGCAGACUCACAAGCACAACUGCAGCCAUUCUCGAGUAUCUCAAUAUCGUCGAAUUCAGCUUCAGGGUUGUGAACAGGAACUUCUCAACCUGUUGCUCAUUCACAACCACAGGUUUCCCAUCGGCCAGCAGUACAUUCCCUUCCCCUUCAGCUCUGGACUUCAUCUCCGUUAAGUAACUAGCAAUUCGCUGUUGAGCUGCAGUGAAUGCUUCAAGUGACUCAUCUUGUUGAGAUCCACCCUCUGCUUGCGCAUCCCAUGAUUUCAUUGAUAUAACAAUCACUUCAGCCUGCAUCCGAAGAUCAUACAGAAAUUUCUUCACAUCAGCUUUCAGUUCCUCUGCAUCCGAAUCCUCCUCUGCAAUGCAGAACACUUGAAUUUUACAACUCUCAAAACUCUCCUUGGUAAGGAGGAGCUGGGAAAGAAGAAGCAUCAGACCACCAUCUCUUACAAUCCAAUACAGAUCAAUGGUACCAUAUUGCCUCUGAUACACGUUGGGCCACUCAUCAAGACCCUUGACAAUAACAACUGCUUUGUUUGCAACAAUGCAGUCAUUAAUUAUCCCAACAAAGGUGGCUGGGAUUUCAGUUAGGUUUUCACGACGCCAUAUUUCUGGAUAUCUCAUAACCACAAUAUUGGGCUUGAGGUUGCCAAGACCCAUAGUCUGGACUAUUCCACGAAAGCCUUCAGACAUAUUCGGUGCUACAACUAUCUCUGCUACACCUUCGCAAUUUUUGUAAUCAAUGUAGGUGCCAAGUUGCUUGCAGGCUGCCUUGGCAUCUUCAGCAUGUUCAUGGUAAUCUCCAUCUAAUAUAGAUACAAAGAUAGACAUCCCACGACCCUUUUUUUUCAUGCAAUUUGCAAAGUCAGCAAGUUUGGGAUGGCAAGGUACAUUUUCUGGCAGCUUUCCCCAUGGCCGGCAGAAUAUGAGAGGGAUGGGAUACCAAUUCUUAGGGUGGACUUGGUUGGCUCCUAGUGAUCGAAGACUACGAAGAGCCAACUGAAAAUAUGCACUCUUGAAGCCAUCACCCCAGUCCCCAGCCUUUCCUUUAAUGCUCACAUAAUAAUAUAUAAGGCUGGCAAGGGCUAGAGACACAACCGUGAAUGACCAAGAAAUCAAGAACAUAAUGACAAUACAAAGUGAUGCCCCAAGAAGAGAGAGGCUCCAAUGGUGAAACUUCCAUCGUGGACGCCAACUGGGAGCAUCUAGAAGAUCCAGAAGGAAGCAAGACAAGUUCACACCAGCAUAACACAGAAGGUAAAACAUAGUUACAGUUGGUGUGAUAAGAUCCAGAUUCCCAAUGAUGACACACCCAAUACAUAAAAAUGCGGUAAAGAGUGUAGCAACAUGAGGCUCAAGCCCAUCUGCAACUUUGAAGUAGUUGAGAACAGGCAGAAUAUCAUCAUUUGCUAUUGCCGCAAGUAGGCGUGGAGCACCUGUCAGGCUUUGAAGAGCUGCUCCUAAAGUUGAAAGAAUAAUACCAAUAUAUACAAUUGCAGGGAAUGGCCAAGCAAUGGUGGCUGUAAGUAACCUGUCAGUUAAAAGUUUGUCUCUGGUUGCAAGUGCUCCAAAAAAUAACACAGAAAUCAGGUAUAAUGCAGUAGUUGUAAGAGUUGCAGCCAAUGUACCAACAGGAAUUGAACGCUGUGUGUCCUUGAGUGAGGCUGAUCUAUUAGAGCCUGCCAUAAUUCCCGUUACAGCAGGGAAAAACAAACCAACCAAUGCAUUGAAAUUCCAGUAAGUCUUUCCUUCAGGAUCAGGUAUUCCUGCAUCAUUGGUAAAUUGAUAAUCUGAACUCCAGUUAUCUUUGAAGCUUUCCAAACUUAAGCCCGUGACUCCAGUUGUUGGAUCAUUCUUCCUUGCUGAAAAAAUCCCAAUAAAUAUGCAGAACACAGAGAAUAAAACAGGUAUAAGGAAAGCAGGUGCAACCCGAUUAAUCAUUUUCACACCACCAAACACAAUGAAGCAUAGAAUGAGAGUCACAACAAUCCCAUAAAUUUGCAGGUCAUGUGAACUUGGACUUUCUAUAGGUUCUGAAGUUAUUGUGCCAUUAACCUUUGUAACAGUUUCUACAUUAGCAACGUGGGGAAAAAAAGAAAAAUGAAUUAGUACAAUACUCACUUUCAACAUCUAAAAAAUACAGGAACCAAUUACUGCAGAAAAUUCUUAAUCAUUACCUCUAAAUAUCCCAGCGGCAGGCACAGCUUUUAAAAAGGUUUCCACAGCUCCCAACACGUAACUAAAACCGCAAACAAAAGCAAAUGAAAGUAUAGAUGUUAACACAAGUGCUCAAAUGUUCUUAGAUAAAGCCAUAAAGAUAACAGCAUGCAUUGGUAAGGCCUCAAAUCUGUCAUCAUUGUCGCAUCACCAAAAGUUCAUAAUAUCUACUCACAGAGCUCCAGCAACUGCAUUCCCAAGGAAGAAACAUAGUCCAAUGCUAACUCCAACCUCUGGGCCAAGAGCACGACCAAUGAGAUAAUAUGGUCCCCCAC